GAGAUUUAACCUGCCCAUUGAAAUGUAUUUAAAAGGCCGCAGUAUUUUGACUGUGCAAAGGUAGCAUAAUCAUUAGUCUUUUAAUUGAAGGCUGGAAUGAAUGGUUGGACGAGGUAAAGCCUGUUUUAUAUUAAUAGAUUGAAUUUUGAUUUUAAGUGAAAAUACUUAAAUAUUUUUAAGGGACGAGAAGACCCUAUAGAGUUUUAUUAGUGUAGUUUUAAUUGAGUUAAGUAGUAAUAUUUGGUUAUUAUAAAACUUAUUUAGUUGGGAUGAUUUAAAGAUAUAAAAAACUCUUUAUUAAUUUAAAUUUAAGUAAGAAGCAAAUAUGAUCCUUUUAUAAUGAUUUAUAGAUUAAAUUACCUUAGGGAUAACAGCAUAAUUCUUUUUAAGAGUUCUAAUCAAAAAUAGAGUUUAUGACCUCGAUGUUGGAUUAAGAUAAAUAUUGGGUGCAGAUGUUCAUUUAUUAGGUCUGUU
RNAcentral lists this ribosomal RNA (474 nucleotides) under Stenophylla gallardi. RNAcentral's name for it is "partial 16S ribosomal RNA". The record is from RNAcentral. Lineage: Eukaryota; Metazoa; Arthropoda; Insecta; Mantodea; Acanthopidae.